UUCCGCUCAGAACGAACGCUGGCGGCAGGCCUAACACAUGCAAGUCGAACGUGAAGCCACCUUCGGGUGGUGGAAAGUGGCAGACGGGUGAGUAACACGUGGGAACGUGCCCUUUGGUUCGGAAUAACCCAGGGAAACUUGGGCUAAUACCGGAUACGCCCUUCGGGGGAAAGAUUUAUCGCCAAAGGAUCGGCCCGCGCCGGAUUAGCUUGUUGGUGAGGUAAUGGCUCACCAAGGCUACGAUCCGUAGCUGGUCUGAGAGGAUGACCAGCCACACUGGGACUGAGACACGGCCCAGACUCCUACGGGAGGCAGCAGUGGGGAAUAUUGGACAAUGGGCGAAAGCCUGAUCCAGCCAUGCCGCGUGGGUGAAGAAGGCCUUAGGGUUGUAANCCCUNUCAGCGGGGAAGAUAAAGACGGACCCGCAGAAGAAG
This 434-nucleotide ribosomal RNA is filed under the name uncultured bacterium. RNAcentral's name for it is "bacterial SSU rRNA". It matches the Rfam family "Bacterial small subunit ribosomal RNA", at positions 18 to 490 of the family's 1533-position model. The record is from RNAcentral.